This 897-nucleotide ribosomal RNA is filed under the name uncultured bacterium. RNAcentral's name for it is "bacterial SSU rRNA". It matches the Rfam family "Bacterial small subunit ribosomal RNA", at positions 26 to 896 of the family's 1533-position model. The record is from RNAcentral.
AGAACGAACGCUGGCGGCGUGCUUAAGACAUGCAAGUCGUGCGAGAAAGUCACCUUCGGGUGGCGAGUAGAGCGGCGCACGGGUGAGUAACGCGUGGAUAAUCUGCCUUAAGGUUCGGGAUAACUCCGGGAAACUGGUGCUAAUACCGGGUAAGACCACGAUGUCCUUGGACAAUGUGGAAAAAGAUGGCCUCUCCUUGGAAGCUAUUGCCUUUUGAUGAGUCCGCGUCCCAUUAGCUUGUUGGUGAGGUAACGGCUCACCAAGGCUCCGAUGGGUAGCUGGUCUGAGAGGAUGAUCAGCCACACUGGAACUGAGACACGGUCCAGACUCCUACGGGAGGCAGCAGUCGGGAAUUUUGGGCAAUGGGGGAAACCCUGACCCAGCAACGCCGCGUGAGGGAUGAAGGCCUUCGGGUCGUAAACCUCUGUCGGGAGGGAAGAACGGUCGGUGUUCUAAUACAGCAUCGAUUUGACGGUACCUCCAAAGGAAGGACCGGCUAACUCCGUGCCAGCAGCCGCGGUAAUACGGAGGGUCCAAGCGUUGUUCGGAAUCAUUGGGCGUAAAGCGGGUGUAGGUGGCUUGGUAAGUCGGAUGUGAAAGCCCAGGGCCCAACCCUGGAAUUGCAUUCGAAACUAUCAGGCUAGAGUCCCGGAGGGGAUGGCGGAAUUCCCGGUGUAGAGGUGAAAUUCGUAGAUAUCGGGAGGAACACCAGUGGCGAAGGCGGCCAUCUGGACGGUGACUGACACUCAGACCCGAAAGUGUGGGUAGCGAACAGGAUUAGAUACCCUGGUAGUCCACACCGUAAACGUUGAGUGCUCGUCGUAGCGGGUAUUGACCCCUGCUGUGACCAAGCUAACGCAAGAAGCACUCCGCCUGGGGAGUACGGCCGCAAGGCUA